UGGGGAAUAUUGCACAAUGGGCGCAAGCCUGAUGCAGCGACGCCGCGUGGGGGAUGACGGCCUUCGGGUUGUAAACCUCUUUCACCAUCGACGAAGGUCCGGGUUUUCUCGGAUUGACGGUAGGUGGAGAAGAAGCACCGGCCAACUACGUGCCAGCAGCCGCGGUAAUACGUAGGGUGCGAGCGUUGUCCGGAAUUACUGGGCGUAAAGAGCUCGUAGGUGGUUUGUCGCGUUGUUCGUGAAAUCUCACGGCUUAACUGUGAGCGUGCGGGCGAUACGGGCAGACUGGAGUACUGCAGGGGAGACUGGAAUUCCUGGUGUAGCGGUGGAAUGCGCAGAUAUCAGGAGGAACACCGGUGGCGAAGGCGGGUCUCUGGGCAGUAACUGACACUGAGGAGCGAAAGCGUGGGGAGCGAACAGGAUUAGAUACCCCCGUAGUCC
RNAcentral lists this ribosomal RNA (441 nucleotides) under uncultured bacterium. Its description in RNAcentral is "bacterial SSU rRNA". It matches the Rfam family "Bacterial small subunit ribosomal RNA", at positions 355 to 796 of the family's 1533-position model. The record is from RNAcentral.